AUUGAACGCUGGCGGCAGGCUUAACACAUGCAAGUCGAGCGGAGAGAGGUAGCUUGCUACUGAUCUUAGCGGCGGACGGGUGAGUAAUGCUUAGGAAUCUGCCUAUUAGUGGGGGACAACAUUUCGAAAGGAAUGCUAAUACCGCAUACGUCCUACGGGAGAAAGCAGGGGGUCUUCGGACCUUGCGCUAAUAGAUGAGCCUAAGUCGGAUUAGCUAAUUGGUGGGGUAAAGGCCUACCAAGGCGACGAUCUGUAGCGGGUCUGAGAGGAUGAUCCGCCACACUGGGACUGGGGCACGGCCCGGACUCCUACGGGAGGCAGCAGUGGGGAAUAUUGGACAAUGGGCGCAAGCCUGAUCCAGCCAUGCCGCGUGUGUGAAGAAGGCCUUAUGGUUGUAAAGCACUUUAAGCGAGGAGGAGGCUACUUUAGAUAAUACCUAAAGAUAGUGGACGUUACUCGCAGAAUAAGCACCGGCUAACUCUGUGCCAGCAGCCGCCGUAA
This 501-nucleotide ribosomal RNA is filed under the name uncultured bacterium. Its description in RNAcentral is "partial 16S ribosomal RNA". It matches the Rfam family "Bacterial small subunit ribosomal RNA", at positions 30 to 523 of the family's 1533-position model. The record is from RNAcentral.